RNAcentral lists this ribosomal RNA (840 nucleotides) under uncultured bacterium. RNAcentral describes it as "bacterial SSU rRNA". It matches the Rfam family "Bacterial small subunit ribosomal RNA", at positions 77 to 895 of the family's 1533-position model. The record is from RNAcentral.
ACUUCGGUCCCGAGUAGAGUGGCGCACGGGUGAGUAACGCGUAAGUGAUCUACCCCUGUAUCUGGGAUAACUAUGGGAAACUGUAGCUAAUACCGGAUACGUUCAUGUAGUUGCGAUUAUGUGAAGAAAGAUGGCCUCUGAUUCAAGCUAUUGUACAGGGAGGAGCUUGCGUACCAUUAGCUAGUUGGUAGGGUAAUGGCCUACCAAGGCAACGAUGGUUAGCGGGUCUGAGAGGAUGAUCCGCCACACUGGAACUGAAACACGGACCAGACUCCUACGGGAGGCAGCAGUGAGGAAUAUUGCGCAAUGGGGGCAACCCUGACGCAGCGACGCCGCGUGGAUGAUGAAGGCCUUCGGGUCGUAAAAUCCUGUCAGAUGGGAAGAAGUGUGUGAUGGUUAAUACCCAUUGCAUUUGACGGUACCAUCAGAGGAAGCACCGGCUAACUCCGUGCCAGCAGCCGCGGUAAUACGGAGGGUGCAAGCGUUGUUCGGAAUUACUGGGCGUAAAGCGCGCGUAGGCGGUUUGUUAAGUCAGAUGUGAAAGCCCAGGGCUCAACCCUGGACGUGCAUUUGAAACUGGCAGACUUGAGUAUUGGAGGGGGUGGUGGAAUUCCCGGUGUAGAGGUGAAAUUCGUAGAUAUCGGGAGGAAUACCGGUGGCGAAGGCGACCACCUGGCCAAAUACUGACGCUGAGGUGCGAAAGCGUGGGGAGCAAACAGGAUUAGAUACCCUGGUAGUCCACGCCGUANACGAUGAGAACUAGGUGUUGGGACGGUUGAUCGUCUCANUGCCGCAGCUAACGCAUUAAGUUCUCCGCCUGGGGAGUACGGUCGCAAGAUU